Sinocyclocheilus rhinocerous is the source of this 252-nucleotide long non-coding RNA. RefSeq lists it as uncharacterized. The record is from RefSeq and is a predicted model, not a curated record. NCBI's taxonomy places the organism in Eukaryota, Metazoa, Chordata, Actinopteri, Cypriniformes, Cyprinidae. The transcript has 3 exons.
GUGAAAUGAGAUCCAGUCACUGAACCUACAUUGUCAUUGGCGUGCGAAGCGGUUGUAAGGGGCCAGGCAGCCAGUGCAGGCUUGAUCCCAGUCAUGUCACCCCUUUGCUUCUAUCUUACCGUGUCUUGAGAUGUCUUGCACAGCUGUCUUCGACACACAUUCAUGAGAGGAUCACAACACACAAUUCACAGAAUUCAACGCGUGUUCACGACAGUACCACGACUGUUGUAUUCCAAAGAUGAACGAAGGUCU